GAUGAACGCUGGCGGCGUGCCUAAUACAUGCAAGUCGAGCGAACGGACGAGAAGCUUUCUUCUCUGAUGUUAGCGGCGGACGGGUGAGUAACACGUGGAUAACCUACCUAUAAGACUGGGAUAACUUCGGGAAACCGGAGCUAAUACCGGAUCAUAUUUUGAACCGCAUGGUUCAAAAGUGAAAGACGGUCUUGCUGUCACUUAUAGAUGGAUCCGCGCUGCAUUAGCUAGUUGGUAAGGUAACGGCUUACCAAGGCAACGAUGCAUAGCCGACCUGAGAGGAUGAUCGGCCACACUGGAACUGAGACACGGUCCAGACUCCUACGGGAGGCAGCAGUAGGGAAUCUUCCGCAAUGGGCGAAAGCCUGACGGAGCAACGCCGCGUGAGUGAUGAAGGUCUUCGGAUCGUAAAACUCUGUUAUUAGGGAAGAACAUAUGUGUAAGUAACUGUGCACAUCUUGACGGUACCUAAUCAGAAAGCAACGGCUAACUACGUG
RNAcentral lists this ribosomal RNA (497 nucleotides) under uncultured bacterium. RNAcentral's name for it is "partial 16S ribosomal RNA". It matches the Rfam family "Bacterial small subunit ribosomal RNA", at positions 28 to 507 of the family's 1533-position model. The record is from RNAcentral.